This 75-nucleotide transfer RNA is filed under the name Planctomycetota bacterium. RNAcentral describes it as "tRNA-Thr". It matches the Rfam family "tRNA". Rfam says of the family: Transfer RNA (tRNA) molecules are approximately 80 nucleotides in length. Their secondary structure includes four short double-helical elements and three loops (D, anti-codon, and T loops). Further hydrogen bonds mediate the characteristic L-shaped molecular structure. tRNAs have two regions of fundamental functional importance: the anti-codon, which is responsible for specific mRNA codon recognition, and the 3' end, to which the tRNAs corresponding amino acid is attached (by aminoacyl-tRNA synthetases). tRNAs cope with the degeneracy of the genetic code in two manners: having more than one tRNA (with a specific anti-codon) for a particular amino acid; and 'wobble' base-pairing, i.e. permitting non-standard base-pairing at the 3rd anti-codon position. The record is from RNAcentral. Lineage: Bacteria; Pseudomonadati; Planctomycetota.
GCUGCUGUAGCUCAGUGGUAGAGCACUUCCUUGGUAAGGAAGAGGCCAAGGGUUCAAUCCCCUUCAGCAGCUCCA